RNAcentral lists this long non-coding RNA (249 nucleotides) under Capsicum annuum. RNAcentral describes it as "long non-coding RNA (CANN_LNC022391)". The record is from RNAcentral. Lineage: Eukaryota; Viridiplantae; Streptophyta; Magnoliopsida; Solanales; Solanaceae.
CGAUAAGUCUCAAAAAAUUCAACACAAAACUAUUGAUAUUAUAGCAUUUAUCCAUAACCCAAAAAUUUUCUAAGGUCAAUGUCUUCAUCAUUUUCUUCCUCUCUUUCUUCAUUUUGGGCACCUAUAAAAAGAGAACAAAUAAUAUAAAUUAGAACUUAAAUAACAACAUAAAAAGGACUAUUCCACAACAAAAUACCACAUAUAAGUUAGCUAGUGAUGAGGCAAAUCAACCAAUCAUGGUUAGAAAGA